AAAGCCGGCCGGGCGGCCGCUGCGCGGGUCGGUUCGCCGGCGCCUCGCAGAGGAAAGUCCGGGCUCCACAGGACACGAUGGUGGGUAACGCCCACCGUCCGCAAGGACCGGGAAAGUGCAACAGAAAGUAUACCGCCGGGCAAGGGCGGAAUUCGGAGUGCGGAGUUCGGAAUGGAGGAUCGUAGUCUCUCAUUCCGCAUUCCCCACUGCGCAUUCCGAACUUGCCAGGUAAGGGUGAAAAGGUGCGGGCGAAAGCCUUAAUGUAAGAGCGCACCAGCAGCCGGGUGACCGGCUGGCUCGGCAAACCCCAUCGGGAGCAAGGCCAAGCAGAGAGCAGGACCUGUCCGGUCCUUUAUCGACUCUCGGGUAGGCUGCUCGAGCGCUGGAGCAAUCCAGCGCCUAGAGAAAUGGCCGCUGCGUGCCGGUUACCCGGCACGAACAGAACCCGGCUUACAGGCCGGCUUUGCGA
RNAcentral lists this RNase P RNA (469 nucleotides) under Gemmataceae bacterium. Its description in RNAcentral is "RNase P RNA component class A". It matches the Rfam family "Bacterial RNase P class A". From Rfam's summary of the family: Ribonuclease P (RNase P) is a ubiquitous endoribonuclease, found in archaea, bacteria and eukarya as well as chloroplasts and mitochondria. Its best characterised activity is the generation of mature 5'-ends of tRNAs by cleaving the 5'-leader elements of precursor-tRNAs. The record is from RNAcentral. Lineage: Bacteria; Pseudomonadati; Planctomycetota; Planctomycetia; Gemmatales; Gemmataceae.